Long non-coding RNA from Helianthus annuus (common sunflower), 166 nucleotides. RefSeq lists it as uncharacterized. NCBI's taxonomy places the organism in Eukaryota, Viridiplantae, Streptophyta, Magnoliopsida, Asterales, Asteraceae. The record is from RefSeq and is a predicted model, not a curated record. The transcript has 3 exons.
GGGUUUACGUUCUUUACCGUCAUCAUCUACAUCUACAAUUCAUUGAAUCCAUUCCUCAAGUUCACAUAUCGCUUUACAAUCUGUAUUUCAUAUGGCUGAAAGUUCAUCAAGUUUCAGGGGACCCUGCUUCUGUAGGCACAUGAAUAAAGCAGACGAGUUUAUUAUG